CCAGAAGUGCAUCUGAAAGAGCCAAACGAACAUCCAUUUGAUAAGCCGUCGUCCAUGUCGUUCUGACGUGGAACAGAAGUACCGAUUUGAGUCGAAUUAUAAAUGUUACAGUAUUACUACGGGAUUUUUUAUCUUGUCAUAUUGAUCAUUAAUAGAGGAGAGAAGGAUUUAAGCUGACUGGUCAUUCCUUAAAAUUUGGAAAUAUGAAACUACUGGAGACAAAAAGAUUCAGUCCGAAAAAAUAAUUUAAAGGUUUACCCA
This is a long non-coding RNA of Dinoponera quadriceps, 261 nucleotides long. RefSeq lists it as uncharacterized. The transcript is spliced from 3 exons. NCBI's taxonomy places the organism in Eukaryota, Metazoa, Arthropoda, Insecta, Hymenoptera, Formicidae. The record is from RefSeq and is a predicted model, not a curated record.